Molecule: ribosomal RNA, 438 nt
Filed under: Micrococcaceae bacterium secU
Lineage: Bacteria; Bacillati; Actinomycetota; Actinomycetes; Micrococcales; Micrococcaceae
Description: bacterial SSU rRNA
Rfam family: Bacterial small subunit ribosomal RNA
Source: RNAcentral
GGCCUUCGGGUUGUAAACCUCUUUCAGCAGGGAAGAAGCCACAAGUGACGGUACCUGCAGAAGAAGCGCCGGCUAACUACGUGCCAGCAGCCGCGGUAAUACGUAGGGCGCAAGCGUUGUCCGGAAUUAUUGGGCGUAAAGAGCUCGUAGGCGGUUUGUCGCGUCUGCUGUGAAAGCCCGGGGCUUAACCCCGGGUGUGCAGUGGGUACGGGCAGACUAGAGUGCAGUAGGGGAGACUGGAAUUCCUGGUGUAGCGGUGGAAUGCGCAGAUAUCAGGAGGAACACCGAUGGCGAAGGCAGGUCUCUGGGCUGUUACUGACGCUGAGGAGCGAAAGCAUGGGGAGCGAACAGGAUUAGAUACCCCUGGUAGUCCAUGCCGUAAACGUUGGGCACUAGGUGUGGGGGACAUUCCACGUUUUCCGCGCCGUAGCUAACGCA